GCAGUGGUGGUUCAGUGGUAGAAUUCUUGCUUUCCAUGCAGGGGACUUGGGUUCAAUUCCCAACCAAUGUA
Molecule: transfer RNA, 71 nt
Filed under: Loxodonta africana (African savanna elephant)
Lineage: Eukaryota; Metazoa; Chordata; Mammalia; Proboscidea; Elephantidae
Rfam family: tRNA
About the family: Transfer RNA (tRNA) molecules are approximately 80 nucleotides in length. Their secondary structure includes four short double-helical elements and three loops (D, anti-codon, and T loops). Further hydrogen bonds mediate the characteristic L-shaped molecular structure. tRNAs have two regions of fundamental functional importance: the anti-codon, which is responsible for specific mRNA codon recognition, and the 3' end, to which the tRNAs corresponding amino acid is attached (by aminoacyl-tRNA synthetases). tRNAs cope with the degeneracy of the genetic code in two manners: having more than one tRNA (with a specific anti-codon) for a particular amino acid; and 'wobble' base-pairing, i.e. permitting non-standard base-pairing at the 3rd anti-codon position.
Source: Rfam by way of RNAcentral